AGGGCUACAGCUCAGCGGUAGAGCACCUCGUUUGAUGACCGAGAAUGUCUACGGUUCGAACCCGUGUAGUCCCA
RNAcentral lists this transfer RNA (74 nucleotides) under Lepisorus clathratus. RNAcentral's name for it is "tRNA-Val". It matches the Rfam family "tRNA". Rfam says of the family: Transfer RNA (tRNA) molecules are approximately 80 nucleotides in length. Their secondary structure includes four short double-helical elements and three loops (D, anti-codon, and T loops). The record is from RNAcentral. Lineage: Eukaryota; Viridiplantae; Streptophyta; Polypodiopsida; Polypodiales; Polypodiaceae.